Molecule: unclassified non-coding RNA, 1360 nt
Filed under: Hevea brasiliensis (rubber tree)
Lineage: Eukaryota; Viridiplantae; Streptophyta; Magnoliopsida; Malpighiales; Euphorbiaceae
Source: RNAcentral
GUGUUUUAGACUACUAUAGUGUAUCAGGACUAGCUCCAGCAAUUAACAUUAAAAAAGAAAUACUAGAAACACGAAAAUACCAUCAAGUCAAUGGUAUAUGUUCCUCUAUGGAAUAUAUGUGCUUAAAUCAAUUUAUUUUUACGUGGGGACGACAUUCUAGUUCUUCUGGCCUCAUAGUUGACAAUCAAAUUGAAUUGCAAUUGGAGGUCUCAAAGGCACCAACAAGAAUGUUUAGAUCAGAGUCCUCAGCCAUGUUGGAUGGGCAAUAACUGAAUCCUUUAAUCUUUUCCCUCAGUUGAUCUUGUCAUUAUUGAUCCUUAUGUGGGAGAUGUGAGAAAUCUUGGACCAAUCUUCCCCUGUCUCUGGUAGACAACUUUGUUCCAGCAAAGGGCAUUUGUAGAUGAACAGUGAAGAAAGGGAGGAAGGCAGCCCAUCUUUUGGCAUUGAAUGAAGCUUGGGGCAGUUCCAUAUGUCCAGAUCUCUAAGAGAGGUGUGAUGUUCAAGUCCCUUGCAAUCCAAAGAUUUCAGAUUUUGAAGAUCCCCAAUUUUAAGAGUGAAAAGGGUAGAGGGUAAGCCCUCUUCUGGCAUGGACUCAAGAUUAGGACACUUCCAGAUCUUCAAUUCUCUAAGAGAGGUGAGUCUUUGAAGCCCCCUGCAGUCCAGAAAUUUAAGAUUUUCAAGAUUCCAGAGUCUAAGAGAGGUAAGAGUGGAAGGCAGCAACUUAUCCUCUGGAAAGGAUUCCAAAUCUUCAUUUCUUCCAAUACUGAAGCAUUGAAGAGAGUGGGGUAAUUGCGAGUUCCGUUGCUUGCAGGCAGCAAUCAGUUUGUUGCAGCUUUCAAUGUGAAGUGAUCUUAAUUUGAAAGGAAGCCCUUCUACUGGAAAGGACUCAAGUUCUUGGCAAUUAUCUAUCUCCAUAUUCACAAGUGAAGGAAGGAGAGUGUGCAUACACUCAGAUAGUGACUUCAAAUUUGAGCAACCCCAUAACCGCAGGCGUGUCAGAUUUGGGAAUGGUAAUCCUCCUUCAAGGAAAUGUACUAACUUGGAGCAUUCCCCAAUUUCCAAGGAACUGAGGGGUGAAAAAUUCACAAGAAUUCCCUUAGCUGCAAAAACACAUUCCAGAUUUGGACAUCUGCUGAUAUGAAGACUCUUCAACCUGGGGAACACAUCAAUUGGGAAGCACAAGAGUGAGUUGCAAUUAGUCAUUACAAUUUCUUCUAAAUUUGUGGAAAGACAACCUAUUUGCUCCAGUCUCUCUAGUAAGGAAUCUAGGGAGUGGAAUCUGUCAACUCUAAGACUGUAAAGCCCAGAAGUCAAUUUCUGUAACUGCACAUCACGGUAAGAGUCCUUAAACUUCAUUUUA